RNAcentral lists this ribosomal RNA (468 nucleotides) under uncultured bacterium. Its description in RNAcentral is "partial 16S ribosomal RNA". It matches the Rfam family "Bacterial small subunit ribosomal RNA", at positions 28 to 507 of the family's 1533-position model. The record is from RNAcentral.
GACGAACGCUGGCGGCGUGCUUAACACAUGCAAGUCGAACGGAAAGGCCCUGCUUUUGUGGGGUGCUCGAGUGGCGAACGGGUGAGUAACACGUGAGUAACCUGCCCUUGACUUUGGGAUAACUUCAGGAAACUGGGGCUAAUACCGGGUAGGAGCUCCUGCUGCAUGGUGGGGGUUGGAAAGUUUCGGCGGUUGGGGAUGGACUCGCGGCUUAUCAGCUUGUUGGUGGGGUAGUGGCUUACCAAGGCUUUGACGGGUAGCCGGCCUGAGAGGGUGACCGGCCACAUUGGGACUGAGAUACGGCCCAGACUCCUACGGGAGGCAGCAGUGGGGUAUAUUGCACAAUGGGCGGAAGCCUGAUGCAGCAACGCCGCGUGCGGGAUGACGGCCUUCGGGUUGUAAACCGCUUUCGCCUGUGACGAAGCGUGAGUGACGGUAAUGGGUAAAGAAGCACCGGCUAACUACGUG